ACCGGCGCACGGGUGAGUAACGCGUAUCCAACCUUCCCGCAAGUAAGGGAUAACCCGUAGAAAUGCGGCCUAAUACCUUAUGCUUGCGGAUGGGGAUGCGUCUGAUUAGUUAGUCGGCGGGGUAACGGCCCACCGAGACGACGAUCAGUAGGGGUUCUGAGAGGAAAGUCCCCCACAUUGGAACUGAGACACGGUCCAAACUCCUACGGGAGGCAGCAGUGAGGAAUAUUGGUCAAUGGGCGGAAGCCUGAACCAGCCAAGUAGCGUGCAGGAUGACGGCCUAUGGGUUGUAAACUGCUUUUAUGCGGGGAUAGGUACCGCAUGAAUAAGGACCGGCUAAUUCCGUGCCAGCAGCCGCGGUAAUACGGAAGGUCCGGGCGUUAUCCGGAUUUAUUGGGUUUAAAGGGAGCGCAGGCCGCCGGGCAAGCGUGUUGUGAAAUGCAGUCGCUCAACGUCUGCACUGCAGCGCGAACUGCCCAGCUUGAGUGCGCGCAACGUUGGCGGAAUUCGCCGUGUAGCGGUGAAAUGCUUAGAUAUGGCGAAGAACUCCGAUU
RNAcentral lists this ribosomal RNA (554 nucleotides) under uncultured bacterium. RNAcentral's name for it is "bacterial SSU rRNA". It matches the Rfam family "Bacterial small subunit ribosomal RNA", at positions 94 to 714 of the family's 1533-position model. The record is from RNAcentral.